UUGAUCAUAAUGGAUAAAGUUUACCAUCAUAAUUUAAAAGUUUCCUAAAUAAUAAAGUGUACUAAAUGUUAUAAAUCAUGGUAUAAAUACAAGUGUUUAAAAUCCAAAAAAAUGAUAUAAAUCAUAAAUGUGAGUGAAACUUGGUUUCCAAGUAUAGAAAAGUCCAAAACAAUUUUGUUUAAGGCUAAAAGUGUCAAAGGGACUUUUCUAGACACAAAAGAUAUCAAAAGGGGCAAUUUUGGAAAAUUUGUGCUGUUCAUUGCGGCUAACGAUAGGUGCACCACGACAAACAUCAUAGCGAAGGUAAAUUGCGACCAACAACUCAUUGUGUCGUGUGCUGCGGUUAAACAACCAUGCAUAAUGAUGGAAGUGCACAUAUAAUACUUAUGACAUAAUGAAUAGUAACUAUGAAUUUUAAUCAUACAUAAUUCUCACUAUAAAUGUCUCAUUUGGGUGAUUCAGGUGUUUCCUCCAUAUCGGACUUUUAUCCACAAAACCUAUUAAGGGCCACAAAACCCGACUUCCAAACAUUUCACUUUACAAACUAGCACUAAAGCUUAUAGCCUUAUGUGAACAACUUGACAACAACAUUGAUGAUCCAAACAACAUCUACAACUCAACAAUUUAUUCAUGCACAUAAAAUUUUCAUAGUUGGAUUACAGUCUCCCAACACAAUUUAUAUAUAACUAAACAUAAAUUACUAUAAGUAAAUCUCAUCUUCUAAACAUUUUUUAACACGUCAGUUAUAUUCAAAUGAAACUAUGAGUAUCAAAAUCUACCUCAUGGCUAACGCCAGACAUGUUCAUCAAAAAUUAAGAGCUUAUAUGCUCAAGUACACAAUACAAGCCUUAUGGUUGGCAAUUUAUACAUUUAACAUCUAAAUGAGGCCUAACAAGACAUAGUGUCCCACACACUACCACUAUGCCUUCAGUGAUUCUCUAGCUGGACCUGCUUUUGUAAAAAUGUUAACCAUAAGGAAAGAGAUACAAAGAUCCUAGUAACUAAUUCCUAGUAACUAAUACUACUAUGUCAUGAUGCAUGUAAUGUAACUAAUUAUGCGUCCACUAAGUGGACAUACAAAAUAUAUCUUCAAACAAUUUAUAUGCAAGCAAACCAAACAAUGGAUGCAUUACUAGCAACUUAUUUCCUCCUUUCUUAAUAUACCAAAUUUUGUGCUUGACACUUAACCUACCUAGCAAAAGGUAAGUCAGUUCAAGUUGUAGAAGCCACUCAUUGUGUCUAAAUGAGGGCAUACCAUGUAACACUAGUUCAAAUGUCAAUAAUAAGUCUCCCUUCUAAUAAAACCUGCACAUGACAUGCAUGCAGGAUCUCUGAACAACUAAAACUGCUAAUAGUAAACCAUUUUUCCACCACAAUCAUAAUUUCAUUCCAAAGAUAAUCAUAUAAAAUUUAUCAUCCCCCUAUCAAUAAUGUUUCCAAACAAUAGAUAUACAUUUCCCAUAUAAUACUUCAAUAGGCAUUAUCAUAAAAAGCAGACACAUAUCUAAUCACAUGACACACACUACAACAUAGUAGCAGAGGUUACCUUUAGCAUGUAAAUUUUGUCAAACAAGCGAUCUUUCACCUUCAACAAUGCUAACACCACAAUACAAUGCAAUACUAAUUAUCAUUAAUACAAGUUUUUAAUCACUAAUCAUAACUUAAUCAUAGGAUUAGUUAAUAAAUCUCAUAAUCUUAAUACUCUCACAUGAUUUAAUCAUUAAACUUAAUCAUCCUCAUCUCAUUACAUUUCUUAAACUUAAAUUUAACCUUAAAACACACUAAUCAUCAUUCAACUAGUCUAGGGUUUUGGAUUAACCCAUAUCAGUAUGAUUAUCAUCAUCAAACCAACUUAAACAACACGUAUUUAAUGUCAAACAAGCUUAUAAGUUUGAACCUAAAGGCUCCCCCCCCCCAAAAAAAAAGGAAAAAGAAAAGCUUAACAUUACUCCCAUAGAACUAGCUCAAAUAGGAUAUUUGAGGGUGGGAAGAAGGUUAGAUAGAGUAUUGUGGUCAAAAAGCCAAAAAAUUCUUAUUCCUGAGCAUCUCUCCGCUAAUGGUGUUUGGAUAGGUGAAAAAAUGGUAAAUAUUCCCCUAAACUUAGGUAUACACUGGAGUACGCGCAUCAGCAUCCUAUGAUCAGGACAGCUCCAAGCACGUCCUCAGGGUUCCCAAUGAUUCUUUAGAAGCAGCGGAUCCUCUAUGUCCGAUUUGCAAAUUUCAUUUGGAGACCAUAGAGCAUUUAUUACUACUUUGUGAAUGGUCAAGGGAAAUAUGGUGUGGCUCGCCCCUGACAUUAAUCAUGGAUCCAAUGCGUGUCUUCUUUUGAAAACCGGUGCUGCUUUUUUCUGGAGGAUAAUAAUCUAAUUGAUGAUUAUGAUAAGCCUUACAUGCCGUGUUUAUGUUGGAACAUAUGUAAGGAAGACCAGAUUUGCAUCAGUUUUCAAUACUGCUGCAUUAAAUCCAUCUCACGUUAUUUGUUCAACUAAUGCUGGUGUAGAGGAAUAUUGGAAGAGUAACCAUUAUGAGCCCUUUAUUUCUUCUGCUACUGAGACUUUCAACUCUGCUUGGACACCUCUAAAAUUUGGGACCAUAAAAAUCAGUAGUGGUGGAGCUUUCUCGCGUGUUACUAACAAGGCUACAAUCGGUGUCAUUGCUAGGGAUGGCUUUGGCAUGUUUCUAAGGGGAUGGAGAGAGCUUGUUGAUGUGAAUUCAAGUUUCUUGUCUGAACUUUUAGGUUGUAGGAAGGCAAUUCAUCUAGCGUCUGACUUCAACAGAAGCAAAGUCAUUAUUGAAUUUGAUCGUCUUGAGCUUUUUCGAGCUAUAUUAUGCAUAAAGAUGUAAUCUAUUGCUCUUGGUCCUUUCAUGGGUUACUAGAAGAUAUGUUGAUCACUCUUGAGUCCUUGCAUUUUCUCUCUUUCUCGUUUAUCAAAUGGGGUGGGAACUCUGUUGCUAACUAGUUAGAGCCUCUUCUUUAAAAGGAGUGGAUUCAAAUGGGUAGGUUUCCGGCCCACCACGCCCUCUUGCAGCUAUUAUUGCUAAGGACUCAGAUCAUCUUCAAUCAUCUUGCCAGCAUAUUGUGCUGAGCAGAGAUAGAGAAGGCAUUGGUUGACUUUGUGGCUUGGUUUUGUUUUCUUUGUUUUAGGUCUCUGCCACAUUGGCUUAUGACUUUUCUUGCUGUUUUAUGAUCUGUUUUGCUUUCUGUCUAGGCUUUGUAGACUCUGUUUGCUCCUUUUUCAAGGAAGGAUUUUCUGCUGUU
Molecule: long non-coding RNA, 3259 nt
Organism: Prosopis cineraria
Lineage: Eukaryota; Viridiplantae; Streptophyta; Magnoliopsida; Fabales; Fabaceae
Exons: 2
Source: RefSeq, a predicted model, not a curated record